AACCUGGCGGAAGCCUACACAUGCAAGUCGAUCGGCAGCGGGAAAGUAGCUUGCUACUUUUGCCGGCGAGCGGCGGACGGGUGAGUAAUGCCUGGGAAAUUGCCCAGUCGAGGGGGAUAACAGUUGGAAACGACUGCUAAUACCGCAUACGCCCUACGGGGGAAAGCAGGGGACCUUCGGGCCUUGCGCGAUUGGAUAUGCCCAGGUGGGAUUAGCUAGUUGGUGAGGUAAUGGCUCACCAAGGCGACGAUCCCUAGCUGGUCUGAGAGGAUGAUCAGCCACACUGGAACUGAGACACGGUCCAGACUCCUACGGGAGGCAGCAGUGGGGAAUAUUGCACAAUGGGGGAAACCCUGAUGCAGCCAUGCCGCGUGUGUGAAGAAGGCCUUCGGGUUGUAAAGCACUUUCAGCGAGGAGGAAAGGUCAGUAGCUAAUACCUGCUGGCUGUGACGUUACUCGCAGAAGAAGCACCGGCUAACUCCGUGCCAGCAGCCGCGGUAAU
RNAcentral lists this ribosomal RNA (502 nucleotides) under uncultured bacterium. RNAcentral describes it as "bacterial SSU rRNA". It matches the Rfam family "Bacterial small subunit ribosomal RNA", at positions 36 to 524 of the family's 1533-position model. The record is from RNAcentral.